GAGAGGAGAACGGAUGAUUCACUUUCCAUUUGAUGUUAACAAGCAGUCUGAUGAGUUCUUAGACGCCACGUCAAAUACAGUCUUUCUGAACUAAUCAAGGAACAUAUCCGCAGUUAUUAAAAAGGUCAUGGCUUUUUACUAAAUCUUGAUGCUUGGCAGUGAAUAUGCUAAAACUUAAGGUGCCAUCAUAUUUCAUUUGCAGGCAAACUUAGGUGUGUAGUACGGCACAGUCACCUUGAACAGAGUAGUUGAAACUCUAAGGUCAUUACUUGAGGGGAUGAAACUUACCAUCUGCCCCCUACAUCGACCCCAUGGUACAAUGUAAGGUUUCAGAAUUCGGCAGGAUUUUCAAUACUGUAGCCAUGGAGUUUCUUCGAGGACGGGAAAAACACAAAGGCUUCUAUGAUGGAUAUACAUCUGUGAUUCAUGUGACCUUGAUACAACUUAUCAGUUUUUUGAAUAAGUGCAAAUACUUUAUCGUUGCCAAUGUGAAAUGGCGAGCAGGUGUUAUCUUCCUAUGUAUUUAUUUGAAAAGAAGUCAACAACGUUGAAGAAUUUUUACUGAUUUCUCUGUAACUACUAACCUUGCCUUGAUUUGAGGACUGGACACUCCAAGACAGUUGGGGACAUUCUGAAACCAUUUCUUGUGCUAUUCCAUUUCCCCCUUUUCUGUUUAUCAUGUCAGAAUGAUGAAUGACAUAAAAAGGACUUGACAUGGCUGUUUCUAUUGGCUUUUGAAGGGAGAUUUGGUCUGUCAAUUUCGCCUCUAGCUCUUAUGAUGGAGAUUACACAAUGUUAAAGUUUUUCUAUUAGCUUUCCCGCAAUGAAAUUGUAAGAGUCCAAGCCCACCGCUAGCAGAUAUUGUCCUUAUUGGGCUUUUCCUUUCGGGCUUCCCCCUAAGGUUUUUAAAACGUGUCUACUAGGGAGAGGUUUCUAUACUCUUACAAAUAGUGCUUUAUUCUCUUCUCCAACCGAUGUGAGAUCUCAUAUGCAGAAUAGGUUAUGUGGAUAACGUUGCAUGUGCAAUGGGUGCCACAUGUUUUGACCCCGUUGAAACUUUCUCCAAGAACUUGCUGUGUUUGGAUCUUGUCUAGACGCUGUCCAUGGGAUAGAGGGAUAGCUAUUCUCCAUAUUGGGGGGUGAAUUUAGUUGGCGCUCGAGCGAGUGGUUGGAUUAUUUCACUCGAUCAUAAUGUCUCAACGUGACAGCAAAACGCCCUGACAUCACGAGUCGAUCAGUUUGCAUCUCAGCCAAGUUUGCUUCGACGUGAUGAGCUCGACCCGAGCGGUAGGAAAUUAAAAGAAGGCUGCAAAACUUUGUAAAAACUUCUAUCAAACUACAAAGUUUCUUAUCCAUGGAGAUGGUUUGGCUGAAUCUAACCCCCCAUAUGUUUUGAGUCAUUUGAACAAAAAUUCUCGUGUUAUUUGGUAUUCUUUUGUAGUGUUUUAUUAGAUGCAUGG
Molecule: long non-coding RNA, 1460 nt
Organism: Cucurbita maxima (winter squash)
Lineage: Eukaryota; Viridiplantae; Streptophyta; Magnoliopsida; Cucurbitales; Cucurbitaceae
Exons: 3
Source: RefSeq, a predicted model, not a curated record